GGAUAACGUUUGGAAACGAACGCUAAUACCGCAUGAUAUUAUUGAGCUGCAUGGCUUGAUAAUCAAAGGAGCAAUCCGCUGAAAGAUGGGCUCGCGUCCGAUCAGGUAGUUGGCGGGGCAACGGCCCACCAAGCCGACGAUCGGUAGCCGGACUGAGAGGUUGAACGGCCACAUUGGGACUGAGACACGGCCCAGACUCCUACGGGAGGCAGCAGUGAGGGAUAUUGGUCAAUGGGGGAAACCCUGAACCAGCAACGCCGCGUGAGGGAAGACGGUUUUCGGAUUGUAAACCUCUGUCCUCUGUGAAGAUAAUGACGGUAGCAGAGGAGGAAGCUCCGGCUAACUACGUGCCAGCAGCCGCGGUAAUACGUAGGGAGCAAGCGUUGUCCGGAUUUACUGGGUGUAAAGGGUGCGUAGGCGGCUUUGCAAGUCAGAAGUGAAAUCCGUGGGCUUAACCCAUGAACUGCUUUUGAAACUGCAGAGCUUGAGUGGAGUAGAGGUAGGCGGAAUUCCCGGUGUAGCGGUGAAAUGCGUAGAGAUCGGGAGGAACACCAGUGGCGAAGGCGGCCUGCUGGGCUCUAACUGACGCUGAGGCACGAAAGCGUGGGUAGCAAACAGGAUUAGAUACCCUGGUAGUCCACGCUGUAAACGAUGAUUACUAGGUGUGGGUGGACUGACCCCAUCCGUGCCGGA
Molecule: ribosomal RNA, 693 nt
Filed under: uncultured bacterium
Lineage: Bacteria
Description: bacterial SSU rRNA
Rfam family: Bacterial small subunit ribosomal RNA
Source: RNAcentral